This is a long non-coding RNA of Melanotaenia boesemani (Boeseman's rainbowfish), 621 nucleotides long. RefSeq lists it as uncharacterized. The record is from RefSeq and is a predicted model, not a curated record. Lineage: Eukaryota; Metazoa; Chordata; Actinopteri; Atheriniformes; Melanotaeniidae. The transcript is spliced from 3 exons.
AACUAGACAAGGAGGAGAGAACGAGGAGGAAAACAGCAGGAAAAGGCAGGAGAAGUUGGUGGGGGAUCCAACAAAGGAGGAAAAGAGAACGUAGGGUCAGACAUAUUAAAACAUCUCCCAACAAACAUGAAAGGAUGACCCAAACUGCAGGAGUGAAGUCAAACGGCUGGAGGAGAGGAAGAAAGCGGCAUGAGGAAAUGAAGGAAAUGAUGUGACAAGAGAGGCAGUGUGUGGAGGCAGGAUCUCGGGGAGUGUGUCACUGUUUUGUAGGCAGCAAUUCUGGACUCCAAGGUCAGCUGAUAAACACCACAUUCACAAGUGGAGAGCAGAGGAAGGUGGAGAUCCCGCAACACCCAGUUCCCGCUUCUUUCAGUCGGAGCCGAGCAUUCGCCUCAAUUAAUCACCGGAAUUGUUACACCGUGGCCAGUGAGGUGAUGGUAAAAAAUUUACGUCAGGCAACCAAACCAGUGAAGGAGCCAGGGCGAAGGGGACCAAUGUGCGGCAUCCAAGGCGGGAGCAGCUAUGUAAAACACUUGCCUUAAGUCAGCCGCAUCCGGUUAAUAUUUAAUCCCUCUAUCCAUCUCCACAAAGAGUGUUUCUCUUUUACCUUUAGCUGCCGUU